Molecule: ribosomal RNA, 377 nt
Filed under: uncultured bacterium
Lineage: Bacteria
Description: bacterial SSU rRNA
Rfam family: Bacterial small subunit ribosomal RNA
Source: RNAcentral
AUACGUAGGUGGCGAGCGUUGUCCGGAAUUACUGGGCGUAAAGGGUGCGUAGGCGGUUAUAAAAGUCAGAUGUGAAAUUCCGGGGCUCAACUUCGGAAUUGCAUUUGAAACUUUAUAGCUAGAGUGCAGGAGAGGGAAGCGGAAUUCCUAGUGUAGCGGUGAAAUGCGUAGAUAUUAGGAAGAACACCAGUGGCGAAGGCGGCUUUCUGGACUGUAACUGACGCUGAGGCACGAGAGCGUGGGGAGCAAACAGGAUUAGGUACCCUGGUAGUCCACGCUGUAAACGAUGAGUGCUAGGUGUAGGAGGUAUCGACACCUUCUGUGCCGCAGUAAACGCAAUAAGCACUCCGCCUGGGGAGUACGGUCGCAAGACUAAA